Non-coding RNA from Pseudocercospora fijiensis CIRAD86, 82 nucleotides. Lineage: Eukaryota; Fungi; Ascomycota; Dothideomycetes; Mycosphaerellales; Mycosphaerellaceae. The record is from the annotation of a RefSeq genome assembly.
UGCUAACUCCCACAAAGUAGAGUGCUUGACUACGAUUCCUUGCGUGAUCAAGAGGUUGCAGGUUCGAGCCCUGCGUCGGUCA